UGGGGAAUAUUGGGCAAUGGGCGCAAGCCUGACCCAGCAACGCCGCGUGAAGGAAGAAGGCUUUCGGGUUGUAAACUUCUUUUAUCAGGGACGAUAAUGACGGUACCUGAUGAAUAAGCCACGGCUAACUACGUGCC
This 137-nucleotide ribosomal RNA is filed under the name uncultured bacterium. RNAcentral describes it as "partial 16S ribosomal RNA". It matches the Rfam family "Bacterial small subunit ribosomal RNA", at positions 355 to 509 of the family's 1533-position model. The record is from RNAcentral.